This 71-nucleotide transfer RNA is filed under the name Cordylochernes scorpioides. RNAcentral's name for it is "tRNA-Gly". The record is from RNAcentral. Lineage: Eukaryota; Metazoa; Arthropoda; Arachnida; Pseudoscorpiones; Chernetidae.
UGCAUCGGCCUGGAAUCGAACCCGGGCCGCCCGCGUGGCAGGCGAGAAUUCUACCACUGAACCACCGAUGC